This 246-nucleotide ribosomal RNA is filed under the name uncultured bacterium. RNAcentral's name for it is "partial small subunit ribosomal RNA". It matches the Rfam family "Bacterial small subunit ribosomal RNA", at positions 26 to 285 of the family's 1533-position model. The record is from RNAcentral.
AGAAUCAACGCUGGCGGCGUGCCUAACACAUGCAAGUCGCACGAGAAAGGGGAGCAAUCCCUGAGUACAGUGGCGCACGGGUGAGUAACACGUGAAUAAUCUACCUCCGAGUGGGGAAUAAACUGAGAGAAAUCUUAGCUAAUACCGCAUAACACUUACGAGUCAAAGCAGCAAUGCGCUUGGAGAGGAGUUCGCGGCCGAUUAGUUAGUUGGCGGGGUAAUGGCCCACCAAGACGAUGAUCGGUA